This 30-nucleotide non-coding RNA is filed under the name Cricetulus griseus (Chinese hamster). The record is from RNAcentral. Lineage: Eukaryota; Metazoa; Chordata; Mammalia; Rodentia; Cricetidae.
AUGAAGGAUCUAUAGGAAGCGUUGUGUCUC